RNAcentral lists this ribosomal RNA (486 nucleotides) under uncultured bacterium. RNAcentral's name for it is "bacterial SSU rRNA". It matches the Rfam family "Bacterial small subunit ribosomal RNA", at positions 29 to 523 of the family's 1533-position model. The record is from RNAcentral.
AGUGAACGCUGGCGGCAGGCCUAAUACAUGCAAGUCGAACGGCAGCACAGCAGAGCUUGCUCUGUGGGUGGCGAGUGGCGGACGGGUGAGGAAUACAUGGGAAUCUGCCCAGUCGUGGGGGAUAACGUAUGGAAACGUACGCUAAUACCGCAUGCGCCCUACGGGGGAAAGUCGGGGACCGCAAGGCCUGACGCGAUUGGAUGAGCCCAUGUUCGAUUAGCUAGUUGGCGGGGUAAAGGCCCACCAAGGCGACGAUCGAUAGCUGGUCUGAGAGGAUGAUCAGCCACACUGGAACUGAGACACGGUCCAGACUCCUACGGGAGGCAGCAGUAGGGAAUAUUGGACAAUGGGGGCAACCCUGAUCCAGCCAUGCCGCGUGAGUGAAGAAGGCCCUCGGGUUGUAAACCUCUUUCAGUAGGGACGAAGCGUAAGUGACGGUACCUAUAGAAGAAGCACCGGCCAACUACGUGCCAGCAGCCGCGGUAA